This 407-nucleotide ribosomal RNA is filed under the name uncultured bacterium. RNAcentral describes it as "partial 16S ribosomal RNA". It matches the Rfam family "Bacterial small subunit ribosomal RNA", at positions 30 to 526 of the family's 1533-position model. The record is from RNAcentral.
AUUGAACGCUGGCGGCAUGCCUAACACAUGCAAGUCGAGCGGAGCGGCGGACGGGUGAGUAAUGCUUAGGAAUCUGCCCGGUAGCGGGGGAUAACGUUCGGUAAUCGGCGCUAUUACUGCUUACUAUCACAUUUGCCUAGGUCGGAUUAGCUUUUGGGUGGGGUAAAGGCCUACCAAGGCGACGAUCCGUAGCUGGUCUGAGAGGAUGAUCAGUCACACUGGGACUGAGACACGGUCCAGACUCCUACGGGAGGCAGCAGUGGGGAAUAUUGGACAAUGGGCGAAAGCCUGAUCCAGCCAUGCCGCGUGUGUGAAGAAGGUCUUCGGAUUGUAAAGCACUUUAAGUAGGGAGGCGUUACCUACAGAAUAAGCACCGGCUAACUACGUGCCAGCAGCCGCGGUAAUAC